GAGGGAGGAAGCUGGGGCCAGGGCCAAGGGUCCUAGGCUUCCCCUCAGAACCCUUCAGUCUCUGGGGGUUGGGAUGGAGGAAAGCGUCAGAUACCUGAUGACCCCAACCCACGAGGGACCUUAGGCUUGGGAAGGGCUAUAGGAUCACAGUGGGUCCAGGGGGACCUCACCCUAUGGGUUCCUUUUGGCACUGGAGCCUCCAGAGUGGCCUGCUUCUCCGGCAGCAGGACCAGGGACCUGACCCCUGGCAGCCUCUGUGUCCAAAAUGACCCUUUUCCCAGAAGCCAAGAAAUGGCAAUGGGGCGGGGGCCAUGGAUGAGGCUGAGGACUUCUCCAGCGACCCCAGCCAGCCUCAUGGGCUAAGAGUUUAGAGCUCAGACAAGCCUGGGUCUGAGCCUCGACACUUACUGUCCCGCGUGACUUGUCCUCUCUGGAAAGAUCCUGUUGCUUCCUGCCUGGGCAGGGCUGGGGCCAGGGCUUGCCGGCUUUGGGGACCCACCCAGCGCAGUCUGGACUGGGCUGGCCUCAAAGGUCCCAACCUCUGAGCCUCCCCUGACCCACCAUCCAGCACCGCUCCCCCGGCCGCCUGGCUGAGACUCACGAGAAUGACAUGAGUCAUUCACAGCAGCUGUGGACAUUUACAGAGCCUCCCAGCUGCUGGCCCAGCCAAGUGCUAUGCCAGCAGUCUCUCCCCUCCUCACGGGAGUGUCACCCCUGUUCACACCUGAGGACACGGCUCAGAGCAGGAAGGGAUAAAGGUGGAUGAGAGAAUGAAGCUCAGCUCCACUUCCCCGCUAGGAGGAAAUGAGGCAGAGAAGAGAGGCAACUCGGCAUCAGUUGUCCACGGGACAGUCCCAAGCCUGGAUUUGAACACAGGUGGAGAUGUGAUGUCAUUUUAGUACUCUUUUUGAGAAGUUGAC
This 920-nucleotide long non-coding RNA is filed under the name Homo sapiens (human). Its description in RNAcentral is "HSALNT0405593". Lineage: Eukaryota; Metazoa; Chordata; Mammalia; Primates; Hominidae. The record is from RNAcentral.